RNAcentral lists this ribosomal RNA (253 nucleotides) under uncultured bacterium. RNAcentral describes it as "partial 16S ribosomal RNA". It matches the Rfam family "Bacterial small subunit ribosomal RNA", at positions 524 to 776 of the family's 1533-position model. The record is from RNAcentral.
UACGGAGGGUGCAAGCGUUAUCCGGAUUCACUGGGUUUAAAGGGUGCGUAGGUGGGCUUGUAAGUCAGUGGUGAAAUCUCCGUGCUUAACAUGGAAACUGCCAUUGAUACUAUAGGUCUUGAAUCUUCUGGAGGUCAGCGGAAUAUGUCAUGUAGCGGUGAAAUGCUUAGAUAUGACAUAGAACACCGAUUGCGAAGGCAGCUGACUACAGGGGCAUUGACACUGAGGCACGAAAGCGUGGGGAGCAAACAGG